AUGCAAGUCGAGCGCUCGUAGCAAUACGGGAGCGGCAGACGGGAGAGUAACACGUGGGAACGUACCCUUCGGUUCGGAAUAACCCAGGGAAACUUGGGCUAAUACCGAAUACGUUCGUAAGGAGAAAGAUUUAUCGCCGAGGGAUCGGCCCGCGCCCGAUUAGCUAGUUGGAGAGGUAAUGGCUCACCAAGGCGACGAUCGGUAGCUGGUCUGAGAGGAUGAUCAGCCUCACUGGGACUGAGACACGGCCCAGACUCCUACGGGAGGCAGCAGUGGGGAAUAUUGGACAAUGGGCGCAAGCCUGAUCCAGCCAUGCCGCGUGGGUGAUGACGGCCUUAGGGUUGUAAAGCCCUUUCGGCGGGGAAGAUAAUGACGGUACCCGCAGAAGAAGCCCCGGCUAACUUCGUGCCAGCAGCCGCGGUAAUACGAAGGGGGCUAGCGUUGCUCGGAAUCACUGGGCGUAAAGCGCACGUAGGCGGGUUCUUAAGUCAGAGGUGAAAUCCUGGAGCUCAACUCCAGAACUGCCUUUGAUACUGAGGAUCUCGAGUUCGGGAGAGGUGAGUGGAACUGCGAGUGUANAGGUGAAAUUCG
This 591-nucleotide ribosomal RNA is filed under the name uncultured bacterium. RNAcentral's name for it is "bacterial SSU rRNA". It matches the Rfam family "Bacterial small subunit ribosomal RNA", at positions 55 to 690 of the family's 1533-position model. The record is from RNAcentral.